CGCGUGUACUGGUCCGGCCCGGGCCUUUCCCUCUGUGGAACCCCAUGCCCUUCACUGGGUGUGGCGGGGAAACAGGACUUUUACUGUGAAAAAAUUAGAGUGCUCCAGGCAGGCCUAUGCUCGAAUACAUUAGCAUGGAAUAAUAGAAUAGGACGUGUGGUUCUAUUUUGUUGGUUUCUAGGACCGCCGUAAUGAUUAAUAGGGACAGUCGGGGGCAUCAGUAUUCAAUUGUCAGAGGUGAAAUUCUUGGAUUUAUUGAAGACUAACUACUGCGAAAGCAUUUGCCAAGGAUGUUUUCAUUAAUCAGGAACGAAAGUUAGGGGAUCGAAGACGAUCAGAUACCGUCGUAGUCUUAACCAUAAACUAUGCCGACUAGGGAUCGGACGGUGUUAUAUUUUGACCCGUUCGGCACCUUACGAGAAAUCAAAGUGCUUGGGCUCCAGGGGGAGUAUGGUCGCAAGGCUGAAACUUAAAGAAAUUGACGGAAGGGCACCACCAGGGGUGGAGCCUGCGGCUUAAUUUGACUCAACACGGGGAAACUCACCAGGUCCAGACACAAUGAGGAUUGACAGAUUGAGAGCUCUUUCUUGAUUUUGUGGGUGGUGGUGCAUGGCCGUUCUUAGUUGGUGGAGUGAUUUGUCUGCUUAAUUGCGAUAACGAACGAGACCUUAACCUGCUAAAUAGCCCGUAUUGCUUUGGCAGUACGCUGGCUUCUUAGAGGGACUAUCGG
This 730-nucleotide ribosomal RNA is filed under the name uncultured eukaryote. RNAcentral describes it as "SSU rRNA". It matches the Rfam family "Eukaryotic small subunit ribosomal RNA", at positions 669 to 1426 of the family's 1831-position model. The record is from RNAcentral.